UUUCUCAAUGGGCGAAAGCAUGAAGGAGCGACGCCGCGUGGGGGAUGAAGGGCUUCGGCCCGUAAACCCCUGUCAUUUGCGAACAAGUGCCAUGGUUGAACAUUCCAUGGCUUGAUUGUAGCGAAAGAGGAAGGGACGGCUAACUCUGUGCCAGCAGCCGCGGUAAUACAGAGGUCCCAAGCGUUGUUCGGAUUCACUGGGCGUAAAGGGUGCGCAGGUGGGUUGGCAAGUUUGAUGUGAAAGCCCCGGGCUUAACCCGGGAAUGGCAUUGAAUACUGCUGAUCUGGAGGAUCGGAGGGGGGACUGGAAUUCUUGGUGUAGCAGUGAAAUGCGUAGAUAUCAAGAGGAACACCAGUGGCGAAGGCGAGUCCCUGGACGAUACCUGACACUGAGGCACGAAAGCCAAGGGAGCAAACAGGAUUAGAUACCCUGGUAGUCUUGGCUGUAAACGGUGCGCAUUUGCUGUAAACGGGAUCGACCCCGUUUGUGGCGAAGUAACGCGAUAAAUGCGCCGCCUGGGAAGUACGGUCGCAAGAUUAAAACUCAAAGAAAUUGACGGGGGCCUGCACAAGCGGUGGAGUAUGUGGCUUAAUUCGAUGCAACGCGAAGAACCUUACCUGGCCUUGACAUGCAUGUGGUAGAACCAUGAAAGUGGGACGACCCCGCAAGGGAGAGCAUGCACAGGUGCUGCAUGGCUGUCGUCAGCUCGUGUCGUGAGAUGUUGGGUUAAGUCCCGCAACGAGCGCAACCCUUGUGUCCUGUUGCCACUCCCUCGAGAGAGGGAAGCACUCUGGACAGACUGCCUCGCUUAAACGAGGAGGAAGGUGGGGAUGACGUCAAGUCAGUAUGGCCCUUACGGCCAGGGCUGCACACGUACUACAAUGCAUGGCACAAAGGGAAGCUAGACCGUCAGGUGGAGCAAAUCCCAAAAAAUCCAUGUCCUGUUCAGAUUGUCGUCUGCAACUCGACGACAUCAAGCCGGAAUCGCU
Molecule: ribosomal RNA, 989 nt
Filed under: uncultured Verrucomicrobiota bacterium
Lineage: Bacteria; Pseudomonadati; Verrucomicrobiota
Description: bacterial SSU rRNA
Rfam family: Bacterial small subunit ribosomal RNA
Source: RNAcentral